UCUUUCCUGUCGUCCGCUACGCGCUCCGGUGGCUGCGACGGCCCGAAGACCGUGCCUUUUCCCGCGCCGCCAUGGAGGUGGCCCUCCGAGGCGUGCGGAAAGUCCUCUGUGUGGCCGAAAAAAACGACGCGGCCAAGGGGAUCGCCGACCUGCUGUCAAACGGUCGCAUGAAGCGGAGAGAAGGACUUUCAAAAUUCAACAAGAUCUAUGAAUUUGAUUAUCACCUGUAUGGCCAGAAUGUUACCAUGGUAAUGACUUCGGUUUCUGGACAUUUACUGGCUCAUGAUUUCCAGAUGCAGUUUCGAAAAUGGCAGAGCUGCAACCCUCUUGUCCUCUUUGAAGCAGAAAUUGAAAAGUACUGCCCAGAGAAUUUUGUAGACAUUAAGGUAGGGUCUUUUGGAAGACAUUUGGCACUCAGUCAAACCACAGAGUCAAACAGAGUGAUUUCUUUGUUUUUAAUGCAUUGGCAUUUGGAGAUAAGGUUUUCCACCAAAGUCACUACCAUGAUUUAAAAAGCUGGUUCCCACCCAUUGUAUAAAUGUGGCUAAGUGGCCAAGGGACUGAAGUAAACUUUUUUUUAUGAAUAGUAGUUGUUUAAAUCCUAGGAAUAAAGGCUGGACAUGGUGGUUUAUGCCUGUAAUCCCAGCAAUUUUUGGGGCCAAGGCAGGAUCACAUGAACUCCAGGAAUUUGAGACCAGCCUGGGCAACAUAGUGAGACCCUCUCUCUC
Molecule: small RNA, 728 nt
Filed under: Pongo abelii (Sumatran orangutan)
Lineage: Eukaryota; Metazoa; Chordata; Mammalia; Primates; Hominidae
Description: retained intron
Source: RNAcentral